This is a non-coding RNA of Schizosaccharomyces pombe (fission yeast), 1015 nucleotides long. Lineage: Eukaryota; Fungi; Ascomycota; Schizosaccharomycetes; Schizosaccharomycetales; Schizosaccharomycetaceae. The record is from the annotation of a GenBank genome assembly.
GUUCUUUUAAGAAUAUUUUCUGUACCUUCCUCUCUCUCUCUUAUAGUACUACUACCUACCUCUUACUCCUCUACCGCAUCGCUCCACUGCAUUUUACUCUAUACUACCAUCACUCCAGUGCGUUAUUUUUUCCCUUGGAUUUUUGUUUUUUUUAUUUUCAAUUAAAACAUUGACUAAAUUCCCAUUCAUUGCUUAUUCAGCCACUUCUCGCUCGUCUCUUGUUUUUUCCUCUCGCCUACUCUGCGGAUCUGAUCAGACGCUUGAGUUCAGGUGCUCUUCCACUACAGCCACAUCUUCUAGACUUUGCGCAAGGUCUACUGCAUCCUCAUUCCGCUCUCCACCAUCGUUUCGUUUGCUGUGUUCCUUUUCUUCUUCUUUCCACUCCCUUCUCACCACCGUCCCAUGUACCUUUUAAUUAAGGAGUAAAUAAACCGUAUAUGUGUGUUGUACUUAGGCUAGGCUACAUACCCUACCAUCAUUGUGCAGUUUGGUGAUGGGAAAAGAUCCAUACAUCUGCUACAUGGUUUCAAUUUUUUGCAUUUCCAUUCGUUUUUUUUUAUCAUAAUAGUUCGUAAUUGCUUGUAGUAAUUAAUUCGUUCUGUGUUCAUUUUGUCUAAUUUUAAUUUUUGGAUUUUUCCUUUCUCUUGUAUUUUUUUUCCUCCUAUUUUUUCCUAACUCCUGUAAUUUUUUGUUAUUUUUUUUUCACUUUCUUCGUUUCUGUGCAUGUUUGGUUCUCCAUUUUUUUCUUUUUCUACAUGGACUACUAUUUUCAGAAAACAAUAUCGGUAAUCAACAUUUUAAAGCUAAAUAUAGCAAUGCUUUAUUAUUUUUUUCCACCACAAGGGGCCUGCUUCCUAAUAUUAUUUAAUGGGAACAAACUUGAUAAGUAAUUCUUCAACACAUCACUAACAUAUAUCGUCUAAUAGAAAUGAUGCAUUUUAAUGGGAAUAGCAAUUUCACAGAAAAUGUAAAUUUUCUGCGAAAAAUAUAUUUUGUCUAUUCAUUGUUUACUCAC